UAGGGAAUCUUCGGCAAUGGGGGCAACCCUGACCGAGCAACGCCGCGUGAGUGAAGAAGGUUUUCGGAUCGUAAAGCUCUGUUGUAAGUCAAGAACGAGUGUGAGAGUGGAAAGUUCACACUGUGACGGUAUCUUACCAGAAAGGGACGGCUAACUACGUGCCAGCAGCCGCGGUAAUACGUAGGUCCCGAGCGUUGUCCGGAUUUAUUGGGCGUAAAGCGAGCGCAGGCGGUUAGAUAAGUCUGAAGUUAAAGGCUGUGGCUUAACCAUAGUACGCUUUGGAAACUGUUUAACUUGAGUGCAAGAGGGGAGAGUGGAAUUCCAUGUGUAGCGGUGAAAUGCGUAGAUAUAUGGAGGAACACCGGUGGCGAAAGCGGCUCUCUGGCUUGUAACUGACGCUGAGGCUCGAAAGCGUGGGGAGCAAACAGGAUUAGAUACCCUGGUAGUCCGCACAGUAAACGAUGGAUGCCCGCUGUUGGUACCUGGUAUCAGCGGCUAAGCGAAAGCAUUAAGCAUCCCACCUGGGGAGUACGCCGGCAACGGUG
This 545-nucleotide ribosomal RNA is filed under the name uncultured bacterium. RNAcentral's name for it is "bacterial SSU rRNA". It matches the Rfam family "Bacterial small subunit ribosomal RNA", at positions 355 to 896 of the family's 1533-position model. The record is from RNAcentral.